GACGAACGCUGGCGGCGUGCUUAACACAUGCAAGUCGAACGGUAAGGCCCUUCGGGGUACACGAGUGGCGAACGGGUGAGUAACACGUGGGUGAUCUGCCCUGCACUUCGGGAUAAGCCUGGGAAACUGGGUCUAAUACCGGAUAGGACCACUGCCUGCAUGGGUGGUGUGGAAAGCUUUUGCGGUGUGGGAUGGGCCCGCGGCCUAUCAGCUUGUUGGUGGGGUGAUGGCCUACCAAGGCGACGACGGGUAGCCGGCCUGAGAGGGUGACCGGCCACACUGGGACGGAGGUACGGCCCAGACUCCUACGGGAGGCAGCAGUGGGGAAUAUUGCACAAUGGGCGCAAGCCUGAUGCAGCGACGCCGCGUGAGGGAUGACGGCCUUCGGGUUGUAAACCUCUUUCAGCACCGACGAAGCGCAAGUGACGGUAGGUGCAGAAGAAGGACCGGCCAACUACGUGCCAGCCGCCGCCGUAA
This 477-nucleotide ribosomal RNA is filed under the name uncultured bacterium. Its description in RNAcentral is "partial 16S ribosomal RNA". It matches the Rfam family "Bacterial small subunit ribosomal RNA", at positions 28 to 523 of the family's 1533-position model. The record is from RNAcentral.